UGGGUUUGAACUGCACAGGAAAGUCUCAGAGAUGAGAGCCCCUCUUCGGAGGUCUGUGUAGAGGUGCUGCAUGGCUGUCGUCAGCUCGUGUCGUGAGAUGUUGGGUUAAGUCCCGCAACGAGCGCAACCCUUAUUCAUAGUUACUAACGUGUAAUGGCGAGAACUCUAUGGAGACUGCCGGUGAUAAACCGGAGGAAGGUGGGGAUGACGUUUACCGACAGCU
Molecule: unclassified non-coding RNA, 223 nt
Filed under: uncultured Holophagae bacterium
Lineage: Bacteria; Pseudomonadati; Acidobacteriota; Holophagae
Description: contains 16S-23S intergenic spacer region
Rfam family: Bacterial small subunit ribosomal RNA
Source: RNAcentral